This 465-nucleotide ribosomal RNA is filed under the name uncultured bacterium. Its description in RNAcentral is "partial 16S ribosomal RNA". It matches the Rfam family "Bacterial small subunit ribosomal RNA", at positions 338 to 795 of the family's 1533-position model. The record is from RNAcentral.
CCUACGGGGUGCAGCAGUGGGGAAUAUUGCGCAAUGGGCGAAAGCCUGACGCAGCGACGCCGCGUGAGGGAUGAAGGUCUUCGGAUCGUAAACCUCUGUCAGCAGGGAAGAACGGUCACUGUGCUAAUCAGCAGUGAAUUGACGGUACCCCUUGAAUAAGCCACGGCUAACUACGUGCCAGCAGCCGCGGUAAUACGUAGGUGGCAAGCGUUGUCCGGAUUUACUGGGUGUAAAGGGCGUGCAGCCGGGCCGACAAGUCAGAUGUGAAAUCCGCGGGCUUAACCCGCGAACUGCAUUUGAAACUAUAGGUCUUGAGUGCCGGAGAGGUAAUCGGAAUUCCUUGUGUAGCGGUGAAAUGCGUAGAUAUAAGGAAGAACACCAGUGGCGAAGGCGGAUUACUGGACGGUAACUGACGGUGAGGCGCGAAAGCGUGGGGAGCAAACAGGAUUAGAUACCCGUGUAGUC